GAACCACUUAGGAUGACUGACAGACUUGAGCUGAAGAGGAAGAUUACAACCACCAGUGAUAGACAUCUCAAUACCAAGACCCCUGCCUCUAAGGAAGAACACCUGAACCCUCGCAUUUGUUUUAACUGGUUCUUGGACACCUGAGAGGACUGGUACACCAGACUACAGUCCUCAAUAAGAACUCCCAGGCCUCAAGCAAAGAUGAGACUCUCUCCUUUCUUUUCUGAGUCUCCCAGACACUGCCCGCACCUGCACUGUCUCUAUACCUUCAAUAAACUCUGCUUUCACCUCC
This is a long non-coding RNA of Prionailurus viverrinus (fishing cat), 292 nucleotides long. RefSeq lists it as uncharacterized. NCBI's taxonomy places the organism in Eukaryota, Metazoa, Chordata, Mammalia, Carnivora, Felidae. The transcript is spliced from 2 exons. The record is from RefSeq and is a predicted model, not a curated record.